GACGAACGCUGGCGGCGUGCUUAACACAUGCAAGUCGAACGGAAAGGCCCUGCUUUUGUGGGGUGCUCGAGUGGCGAACGGGUGAGUAACACGUGAGUAACCUGCCCUUGACUUUGGGAUAACUUCAGGAAACUGGGGCUAAUACCGGAUAGGAGCUCCUGCUGCAUGGUGGGGGUUGGAAAGUUUCGGCGGUUGGGGAUGGACUCGCGGCUUAUCAGCUUGUUGGUGGGGUAGUGGCUUACCAAGGCUUUGACGGGUAGCCGGCCUGAGAGGGUGACCGGCCACAUUGGGACUGAGAUACGGCCCAGACUCCUACGGGAGGCAGCAGUGGGGAAUAUUGCACAAUGGGCGGAAGCCUGAUGCGGCAACGCCGCGUGCGGGAUGACGGCCUUCGGGGUGUAAACCGCUUUCGCCUGUGACGAAGCGUGAGUGACGGUAAUGGGUAAAGAAGCACCGGCUAACUACGUG
This 468-nucleotide ribosomal RNA is filed under the name uncultured bacterium. Its description in RNAcentral is "partial 16S ribosomal RNA". It matches the Rfam family "Bacterial small subunit ribosomal RNA", at positions 28 to 507 of the family's 1533-position model. The record is from RNAcentral.